GAUGAACGCUGGCGGCGUGCCUAAUACAUGCAAGUCGAGCGAACAGACGAGGCGCUUGCUCCUCUGACGUUAGCGGCGGACGGGUGAGUAACACGUGGAUAACCUACCUAUAAGACUGGGAUAACUUCGGGAAACCGGAGCUAAUACCGGAUAAUAUAUUGAACCGCAUGGUUCAAUAGUGAAAGACGGUUUUGCUGUCACUUAUAGAUGGAUCCGCGCCGCAUUAGCUAGUUGGUAAGGUAACGGCUUACCAAGGCGACGAUGCGUAGCCGACCUGAGAGGGUGAUCGGCCACACUGGAACUGAGACACGGUCCAGACUCCUACGGGAGGCAGCAGUAGGGAAUCUUCCGCAAUGGGCGAAAGCCUGACGGAGCAACGCCGCGUGAGUGAUGAAGGUCUUCGGAUCGUAAAACUCUGUUAUUAGGGAAGAACAAAUGUGUAAGUAACUAUGCACGUCUUGACGGUACCUAAUCAGAAAGCCACGGCUAACUACGUG
Molecule: ribosomal RNA, 497 nt
Filed under: uncultured bacterium
Lineage: Bacteria
Description: partial 16S ribosomal RNA
Rfam family: Bacterial small subunit ribosomal RNA
Source: RNAcentral